This 368-nucleotide ribosomal RNA is filed under the name Elphidium margaritaceum. RNAcentral's name for it is "SSU rRNA". It matches the Rfam family "Bacterial small subunit ribosomal RNA", at positions 537 to 903 of the family's 1533-position model. Lineage: Eukaryota; Foraminifera; Rotaliida; Elphidiidae. The record is from RNAcentral.
AGUGUUAUCCGGAAUCACUGGGCGUAAAGCGUCUGUAGGUGGUUUAAUAAGUCAACUGUUAAAUCUUGAAGCUCAACUUCAAAAUCGCAGUCGAAACUAUUAGACUAGAGUAUAGUAGGGGUAAAGGGAAUUUCCAGUGGAGCGGUGAAAUGCGUAGAGAUUGGAAAGAACACCGAUGGCGAAGGCACUUUACUGGGCUAUUACUGACACUCAGAGACGAAAGCUAGGGUAGCAAAUGGGAUUAGAUACCCCAGUAGUCCUAGCCGUAAACAAUGGAUACUAGGUGUUGAACAGAUCGAACUGUGCAGUAUCAAAGCUAACGCGUUAAGUAUCCCGCCUGGGAAGUAUGCUCGCAAGAGUGAAACUCA